Molecule: ribosomal RNA, 240 nt
Filed under: uncultured bacterium
Lineage: Bacteria
Description: partial 16S ribosomal RNA
Rfam family: Bacterial small subunit ribosomal RNA
Source: RNAcentral
AGUGGCGGACGGGUGAGUAACGCGUGGGUAACCUGCCUCAUACAGGGGGAUAACAGUUAGAAAUGACUGCUAAUACCGCAUAAGACCACGGUACCGCAUGGUACAGUGGUAAAAACUCCGGUGGUAUGAGAUGGACCCGCGUCUGAUUAGGUAGUUGGUGGGGUAACGGCCUACCAAGCCGACGAUCAGUAGCCGACCUGAGAGGGUGACCGGCCACAUUGGGACUGAGACACGGCCCAG